UACGUGAAACCGUUCAGGGGUAAACCUGAGAAACCCGAAAGAUCGAAGGGGGAGAUUCAUCGUCAAAGACGUUUCGUGUCCGUCGGCUGCGAUGUCCGGGGCUUCGGCCUCGGUUCACGCUGUCGUUUUGCGGAUUUCGUUGGUCGUCGGCGUGCACUUCUCCCCUAGUAGAACGUCGCGACCCGUUGGGUGUUUGCCAAAGGCCUUGGGCUGGUCGACUGCCGUGCCGUCGUAAGACGCUCGCGCUGCAGACCACCGUUGUUGGGCCCGGCAAACCGCUCGGCGGUAUAACCUGUGUAAAUCGAGGUAUGGAGCCGCAGUAAAUGCGUCCAGGCACGUCUGCAGGUGAGACUAGAUUCGGAAUUCGGACCAAGCGCCGGGUACUGGGUCUGUUUCGCUUUGCGCCGACGUUGUCCUCGGACUGGCUCUUUUACAUUCGAACGGAUGUACCGGUCGGCGACGCUACUGCUUUGGGUCCUUUCAGGACCCGUCUUGAAACACGGACCAAGGAGUCUAACAUGUGCGCGAGUCAUUGGGACUUAAAAACCUAAAGGCGCAAUGAAAGUGAAGGUCGACCUUGCGUCGAUCGAGGGAGGAUGGUUCUUGUUACGAUAAGAACUCGCACUCCCGGGGCGUCUCUAACUCAUUACGAGUCGAGGCGCACCCAGAGCGUACACGUUGGUACCCGAAAGAUGGUGAACUAUGCCUGGUCAGGACGAAGUCAGGGGAAACCCUGAUGGAGGUCCGUAGCGAUUCUGACGUGCAAAUCGAUCGUCGGAACUGGGUAUAGGGGCGAAAGACUAAUCGAACCAUC
RNAcentral lists this ribosomal RNA (814 nucleotides) under Hymenoptera sp. NZAC 03013470. Its description in RNAcentral is "eukaryotic LSU rRNA". It matches the Rfam family "Eukaryotic large subunit ribosomal RNA", at positions 396 to 944 of the family's 3401-position model. RNAcentral also lists the same sequence under 2 other names. Lineage: Eukaryota; Metazoa; Arthropoda; Insecta; Hymenoptera. The record is from RNAcentral.